Molecule: long non-coding RNA, 1514 nt
Organism: Monomorium pharaonis (pharaoh ant)
Lineage: Eukaryota; Metazoa; Arthropoda; Insecta; Hymenoptera; Formicidae
Exons: 3
Source: RefSeq, a predicted model, not a curated record
CUGGCUUAUCCCCACCACCGGGCUUCCCCCUCCACUCCGCCCUGUUUCGCUGCGAGCCUCGCAGGUGCGGUGAGGAACCACCGCGACCGAACGAGUUCCGAGAAAUACGUGCUCGGAGUAAUUCCGUGUAUCGGUGAAGGGGGGUGAGGGGUCACGGCGCUUUUUGUUGAUGUUUUGAAACUGUAUUGUCUCGCUCGGUGUUUGAUCUGGCUUGGCACAAAUACGAAAGGUAUAUCCGAAUAUUCGGCACAAAAUGAUUUACGAGGUUUUCGGUGACGAAACGCGGAAGGAGAUACAUGUAGUCCCUCCAGGACAUACGCGAGCAGUAAGGGUGGAAAAAAUCGACGAGAUCGAGUGCUCGGUUGUGGAGCCUACCGUUGAAACUGAUCGCUCUACGCGGGAGGUAUGCCACUCCGCUUGCGUCUUAUUCAUGAACGAUCAUCUACUUCUGAACGCCGCUGCUUCUCUAAUAGCCCACCUGUAGACUCGAAGUGAUACCAUAAAACCGUAUUCAAGUUCCAGAAGAGGAAAGAGGGAGAGAGCAUUGAGCAGAGUUUCUUUCGAGUUCUUCAUUCACUGUCUCGCUGAACCAGUACCAUCUGUGCCUCCACCUGUGCCCAACCAACUGUUUCUUUGCCAGCGCAACCAGAGUAAAUCCGGUUUCAAUCUCUUUCAGCAUUUUAUCUCGCGACGACAAGGUAAGGUAGCGAGUAAGGUAAUAUCGAUACAUGUUUAAAGGCCCACAUACCGUUCGCUUUCCGUUCUUCCAUACAAAUUAAAUUUUGUACUUUGAUAUCAAAACAAUCGCAGAUCCGAGUACGAGAGUCGCUCAUAUCUAUUGAUAAGAAAACGGUUGAGAAACGGUUACACAAGGAUUUCUAGAUCUGCGUGUACAAAUAUUCCGUAAUGCACAACUACUUUAAAAUUACUUUUUUAAAGAAAAGAUCUAAAUUUACAAUAAAGUAGUUUUUAACCUUUUGUAAAAAAAAAAUUUUACAAGUGUUUAUGACGAACUUUUCUCGCAAAUAUAAAGGUAAAUUUGAUGUAAUGCGAAAGGUAAAUGAAGUUUAAUUAAUUAUAAAAUAACAAUUAAAUGACGCACCCUUUUUUGCAUGCAUGAGUUAAUAUAAUUCCAUGCGAAUUAAAUAAGCAUAAUAACUCUUUUAGCUCUUUGUUAGAUAAUAUCCAUUAUUGCAAUAUUGCGUCACGAUAUUAUGCAAGGUUUGAAACCUUCCUGUGAAACCUUUAUUUAAAACAACAGAAUAUAAAAAUAAAAAAAUUUACUUGUAAUUUUAGAAACACGUUACAUUGAUAUUUUUUUUUAUUUUAAUAAUAAAGUAUCCUUGGCAUAUAAUAUACUAAGUAAACAUCAUUAAGAACACAUAUAUUAUGCACAAAGUAUAGAUUUUAGAAAGGACUUAUAUAUAUAUAUAUAUAUAUAUAUACAAAAAACAAAAAACAAAAAACCGACUCAGUCAUUUUUAGCUCUUAUAUGCUAUCCAUUCCAUCAAAUU